CCGGUAGGGGAUGGGCAUGCGUGCCAUUAGCUAGUUGGUGGGGUAACGGCCCACCAAGGCUGCGAUGGCUAGGGGGCCUGAGAGGGUGGUCCCCCACACUGGCACUGAGAUACGGGCCAG
RNAcentral lists this ribosomal RNA (120 nucleotides) under uncultured bacterium. Its description in RNAcentral is "partial 16S ribosomal RNA". It matches the Rfam family "Bacterial small subunit ribosomal RNA", at positions 215 to 334 of the family's 1533-position model. The record is from RNAcentral.